This 169-nucleotide unclassified non-coding RNA is filed under the name plant metagenome. RNAcentral's name for it is "partial contains small subunit ribosomal RNA, internal transcribed spacer 1, and 5.8S ribosomal RNA". The record is from RNAcentral.
UUUCCGUAGGUGAACCUGCGGAAGGAUCAUUAGUGAACGCCCUGACGGGCUUAUAUCUAUUCCAAACCUCUGUGACCCGUUCCCUUAGGGGUUAUUUGACAAACAUGGUGUAAUGAACGUAAUAUAUCAUAACAAAACAAAACUUUCAACAACGGAUCUCUUGGCUCUC